Molecule: long non-coding RNA, 2309 nt
Organism: Hemiscyllium ocellatum (epaulette shark)
Lineage: Eukaryota; Metazoa; Chordata; Chondrichthyes; Orectolobiformes; Hemiscylliidae
Exons: 2
Source: RefSeq, a predicted model, not a curated record
GGCUUUUUGCCAGAACAUGCUGGUGUUUUGUGCCAAACUGAACAAUGAACUGAGACUAAGAUAUAAAGUCACGAUGUAGAGGUGCCGGUGUUGGACUGGGGUGAACAAAACCAGAAGUCACACGACUCCAGAUUCUGGUCCAGCGGGUUUAUUUGAAAUCACAAAUAAUUGAUUUCAAAUAAACCUGUUGGACCAUAAUCUGGUGUCGUGGGAUUUCUGAAGUGAAAGCAAGGCACUGGCUAGCUAUUUCGUCCCACUUUAACACCGACGUGUCUUUCACGAACAUCUGGAGACUUGAGUGCAAAUUAGUCUCUUUCUUCUUGGAGCCUUAUUCUGUUGCCAGUUUUGUAUUGGUGGUGCUACAGUCGAGUUUACGCCAUGAGCUAUGAAUAUUCUCACAAUUCUGUUGUAUAGCAUUGUAUCCGACACCUUUUGGAAGUCUGCAUACACAACAUCAACAACACUGCCCUCAUCAACUCUCCAGUAUAUCUUCUAAAAACUCCAGCAUGUUGGUUAAAUGCUAUUUUCCAUUAAGAAAUAAAUGCUGGUUCUUAAUUAAGAUUUGGAGAGGUCGUUGUUGGACUGGGGUGUGGACACUCUACUGCAAACCCACAGACAACCUCACGAUGCUACACUUCUCCAGCUUCCACCCAAAACAUAUUAAAACAGCCAUCCCCAAUGGACAAGCCCUAUGCGUACACCAGAUCUGCUCAGAUGAGGAGAAACGUGACGGGCAUCUGGAAGUACUCAGGGAUGCCCUCAUAAGAACAGGGUAUGUUGAUCAACUCAUCGACCGCCAGUUCCAACAUGCCUCAGCAAGGAACCGUAAUGACCUCCUCAGGAGACAGACACGUGCUGCAACUGACAAGGUACCCUUCGUUGUCCAGUACUUCCCUGGAGCUGUAAAACUACGCCAUGUUCUUCGUGACCCGCAACACAUUAUCAAUGAGGAUGAGCACCUCACCAAGACCUUCCCCACACCUCCACUGCUUGCCUUUAAACAACCGCCAAACCUCAAACAGAUCAACGUUCAUAGCAAACUGCCCGGAUCUCAGGACAACUCCAUACAACCCUGUCACAGGAGGUAGUGCAAGUCGUGUCAGAGUGUGGACAUAGAUACUGCCAUUACACGUGGGAACACCUCCCACCAUGUACAUGGCAGCUACUCAUGUGACUCAGCCAACAUUGUCAAUCUUAUACGUUGCAGGCAAGGAUGCCCGGAGGCAUGGUACAUUGGGGAAACCGAGCAAAGGCUAUGAUAAUGGAUGAAUGGGCACCACACAACAAUCAACAUACAGGAGUGUUCCCUCCCAGUUGUGGAACACUUCAGUGGUCCAGGACAUUCGCCCUCUGACCUUCAGGUGACCAUCCUCCAAUUCGGACUUCGGGACAGGCAGCAGCGAAAUGUGGCCGAUCAGAGACUGAUAGCUAAGUUCGGUACCCAUAGGGAGGGCCUCAUAAGGGACCUUGGGUCCAUGUUACACUACAGGUGACCACCAUUGCACUAUACACACACAUAAACACUCUCUCUCACCUGCACACGCGCGCGCACACACACACACACUCCUACACACACACAUACACACGUAUACACAGACACGCACACAGACACUCACAUUCCCGUGCUCACACAUGCAUCCUCUCACAGACUUAGACCACUCUACACUCACGCACACACAUAUGUACACUCUCACAGACACUCACAAACCCCCACCCCAGACGCAUACAUACACUCCUGCAGACACACACACUCCCACACUCACAGACUUAGACACUCUACACUCACAUAUACACUCUCUCUCACACUCACAACCCACCACCACAGACAGACAGACAGACACACACACACACACACAAAUAUAUGUACAUAUACGUUUGUGGGGUGAAUUUGUACUUGCAGAGUUAUAUUGUACUUUGCUCAAAAACUGCAUGAAUUCAUGUAAGACUCUGUUAACUCAGUUUUUAAGAUUAGAAUCAGUCUAAAUAUUAUGGCACAGGCAGAGAACACAGGAGGCUAGCACCUUCUACAUUAUCUGGCUAACAUCAAUUAUUACAGUUAACCUGAGAAUGUAACUUUUUAAAAAAAGUUUUGUGAUUUACAUAUGAAAGAAGUGAAACUAUCAUGGUAUUCGAACAGAUGAAAAACUCAACAAACAAUCAAGGUAUUUUCCAAUGUAUAAUUUCAGUUACAUCACACUGUAAACUUUUGCUAUAAAUUCUGUGUCUUACAAUGGUGUACUCCACUACCACCUGAUGAAGGAGCAGCGCUCCGAAAGCUAGUGCUUCCAAUUAAACCUAUUGGACUAUAA